RNAcentral lists this ribosomal RNA (253 nucleotides) under uncultured bacterium. RNAcentral describes it as "partial 16S ribosomal RNA". It matches the Rfam family "Bacterial small subunit ribosomal RNA", at positions 524 to 776 of the family's 1533-position model. The record is from RNAcentral.
GACGUAGGGUGCAAACGUUGCUCGGAAUUACUGGGCGUAAAGCGCGUGUAGGCGGCAGCGUGUGUCGGGCGUGAAAUCCCACGGCUCAACCGUGGAAGUGCACUCGAAACUGCGCAGCUAGAGUCCUGGAGAGGAAGGUGGAAUGCUUGGUGUAGAGGUGAAAUUCGUAGAUAUCAAGCGGAACACCGGUGGCGAAGGCGGCCUUCUGGACAGUGACUGACGCUGAGACGCGAAAGCGUGGGGAGCAAACAGG